RNAcentral lists this small RNA (133 nucleotides) under Marmota monax (woodchuck). The record is from RNAcentral. Lineage: Eukaryota; Metazoa; Chordata; Mammalia; Rodentia; Sciuridae.
GCCAGGCAUAGUGACGCAUUCCUAUAAUCCCAGUGACUCAGGAGGCUGAGGCAGGAGGAUUGCAGGUUCAAAGCCAGCCUCAGCAACUUAGCGAGAGAGAGAUCGUGAGCAAAUCAGUGAGACCCUGUCUCUA